AUGACCAGGGCUACACACGUACUACAAUGGCCGGUACAAAGGGCAGCCACUUAGCGAUAGGAAGCCAAUCCCGUAAAGCCGGUCUCAGUCCGGAUUGGAGUCUGCAACUCGACUCCAUGAAGUUGGAAUCGCUAGUAAUCGCGGAUCAGCACGCCGCGGUGAAUACGUUCCCGGGCCUU
RNAcentral lists this ribosomal RNA (179 nucleotides) under uncultured Desulfocapsa sp. RNAcentral's name for it is "partial 16S ribosomal RNA". It matches the Rfam family "Bacterial small subunit ribosomal RNA", at positions 1204 to 1382 of the family's 1533-position model. Lineage: Bacteria; Pseudomonadati; Thermodesulfobacteriota; Desulfobulbia; Desulfobulbales; Desulfocapsaceae. The record is from RNAcentral.